AAUACGAAUACAAAAAUUAGUUGGGGAUGGUGGCAGGCACCUGUAAUCCCAUCUACUUGGAGGCUGAGGCAUGAGAAUUGCUUGAACCUAGGAGGCGGAGGUUCCAAUGAGCUGAGAUUGCACCACUGCACUCCAGCCUGGGCAACAGAGCAAGACUGUCUCAAAAAAAACCCAGCGCCAGGGAGAUUUUAAUGCCAGCCACCUAGAUCCAAACUCAGCCACUCCACGGACCCUCCCUGACGCUGCUGUGAGCCAGACACCACAGGGAGGCAGGGGCAAAAACUGACCCUCACGCAGCGUCCUCCUCCAGGGAACUGUGGAACACAUCGCAGAGAGAGCUCAGGUGCCACGUUUCAAUCCCUGAGCAGCUCUCACAAGCCUGCACCCAGGACUGGGGGGCCUGCUGGGGGAGCCCAAAGGACCCAAAGGGAAAGGGAGAAUUUCCAAGGCUGCAUCCAUCUCCAUCCAGCUCCAUCAGGCCCAGUGAAUUUCCACACAACCUGGUCGCCGCUGCUGUUAUAAAAUCAGAUUCCUUCUGUGACCCCUAGUAUGCACCCGUAAACCCGGCUGGAGGGAGGGAAUUCCUUAGCUACUGCUGUGCUUUUAACAAUUUUUCAAGAGUAGGACACUCGCUGUACACAAUAAACACUGAACACUGAA
Molecule: non-coding RNA, 660 nt
Filed under: Pongo abelii (Sumatran orangutan)
Lineage: Eukaryota; Metazoa; Chordata; Mammalia; Primates; Hominidae
Source: RNAcentral